AGAGUUUGAUCCUGGCUCAGGACGAACGCUGGCGGCGUGCUUAACACAUGCAAGUCGAACGAGGUCCAUCCGGUAGCAAUACCGGUGAAGACUUAGUGGCGAACGGGUGAGUAACACGUGAGCAACCUGCCCCGAAGACCGGGAUAACAGCGGGAAACCGCUGCUAAUACCGGAUGCCCCCACCGGGUCGCAUGGCCUGGUGAGGAAAUGGAUUCCGCUUCGGGAGGGGCUCGCGGCCUAUCAGCUUGUUGGUGGGGUAACGGCCCACCAAGGCUACGACGGGUAGCUGGUCUGAGAGGACGAUCAGCCACACUGGGACUGAGACACGGCCCAGACUCCUACGGGAGGCAGCAGUGGGGAAUAUUGCGCAAUGGGCGAAAGCCUGACGCAGCAACGCCGCGUGAGGGAUGAAGGCCUUCGGGUUGUAAACCUCUUUCGAGCAGGGACGAUAAUGACGGUACCCGCAGAAGAAGCUCCGGCCAACUACGUGCCAGCAGCCGCGGUAAUACGUAGGGAGCGAGCGUUGUCCGGAUUCAUUGGGCGUAAAGAGCUCGUAGGCGGCUUGGUAAGUCGGAUGUGAAACCCCCAGGCUCAACCUGGGAUCGCCAUCCGAUACUGCCAUGGCUAGAGUCCGGUAGGGGCCCACGGAACUCCUGGUGUAGCGGUGAAAUGCGCAGAUAUCAGGAAGAACACCGGUGGCGAAGGCGGUGGGCUGGGCCGGCACUGACGCUGAGGAGCGAAAGCGUGGGGAGCGAACAGGAUUAGAUACCCCCGUAGUCC
This 780-nucleotide ribosomal RNA is filed under the name uncultured bacterium. RNAcentral's name for it is "bacterial SSU rRNA". It matches the Rfam family "Bacterial small subunit ribosomal RNA", at positions 8 to 796 of the family's 1533-position model. The record is from RNAcentral.